This 1356-nucleotide ribosomal RNA is filed under the name Neso sp. NLG-2014. Its description in RNAcentral is "partial 16S ribosomal RNA". The record is from RNAcentral. Lineage: Eukaryota; Metazoa; Arthropoda; Insecta; Coleoptera; Scarabaeidae.
GAGGAACCUGUCCUGUAAUUGAUAUUCCACGAUUAAUUUUACUUGUUUUAUUAGCUUAUAUAUCGUCGUUGUUUAAAUAUUUUAUAAGAAUUUAAAUGUUUAAGAUUUAUAAUAAUAAAAAAAAUCAGAUCAAGGUGUAGUUUAUAUACAAGUAGAGAUGGGUUACAAUAAAAAUAUUUAUAUGGUUAAGAUAAUUAACAUUAUUUUUUAAAGUGGAUUUGAAUGUAAUAUAAUUUAGUUAAUUUAUAUGAAUAAAGCUCUAAAAUAUGUACAUAUUGCCCGUCACUCCUAUUUUAAAAUGGGAUAAGUCGUAACAGAGUAGGUGUACUGGAAAGUGUACCUAGAUUGUCAAAUUAGAGCUUGUUAGAAAGCAUUUUAUUUACAUUAAAAAGUUAGUUGUGUGAAUCAAUUUAAUUUGAUAAUAAAAAAUUUAUUAGAUUUUAUGAAAAUAAAAUAUUAUUUUUAUUUAGUAUUUUUUUUAGAAUUAUUUAUUUAAAUUAUAGUUUAUUUGUAUAGUGAUAGAUUAUUGAUAUAUUAUUUUAUUUUUAGUAAAGAAAAAUUAAUUUUUUGUACCUUGUGUAUCAGGGUUUAUAAAAAAUAUUUUAUAUAAUUAAAGUUCUCGAAUUUUUAAGAGUGAAUAGUUUUUAUAUUUAAUUGUAAUAUAAAUUUUUAUAAUAAAUUAUUGGAAAUGAAACGUUAUUCGUUUAAAAAUAUAUCUAGUUUUUUAAGAAAUAAAUUUAAUUUAUUUAUUUAAAUAUAUUAUUUUAAUUUUGAAAGAUAGUAUUUUAAAUAUUAAAUAUCUUAAGGGAUAAGCUUUAGGAUAAAUUAUUAUAAAUUAUUUAUAUAUAAAGAAUAAAUAGAAUUAGAAAUUUUAAUUUUUUAAUUUGUUAUAAUUAAUUUUUUUUUUAUAUAAUUUAUAUUGAUUUUAAUUAUUUUAUUAAUAUAAUUUAUUUAAUAAUUAUAUAUAUAUAAUUAUGAUAAAAUUAGUAUAUUUUGAUUUAUUUAUUUUUAAUAUUGAAAGGUUAAGUUAAGGAAUUCGGCAAAUAUAUUUUUCGCCUGUUUAUUAAAAACAUGUCUUUUUGAUUAUAAUUUAAAGUUUGACCUGCCCACUGAUAUUUUGAAUGGCUGCGGUAUUUUGACUGUACAAAGGUAGCAUAAUAAUUAGUUUUUUAAUUGAAAGCUGGAAUGAAUGGUUGGACGAAAAAAUAACUGUCUUAAUUUAAUUUUUUUUAGAAUUUUAUUUUUAAGUAAAAAAGCUUAAAUAACAUUAAAAGACGAGAAGACCCUAUAGAGUUUAAUAUUAUUUAUUUUUAUUAUUAUUUAGAUAUUUAUAAUAUUAAUUAUUAUUAGUAUUUU